CCUACGGGCGACAGCAGUGGGGAAUUUUGGGCAAUGCGCGCAAGCCUGACCCAGCAACGCCGCGUGAAUGAAGAAGGCUUUCGGGUUGUAAACUUCUUUCAAGAGGGAAGAGCAGAAGACGGUACCUCUUGAAUAAGCCACAGCUAACUACGUUCCAGCAGCCGCGGUAAUACGUAGGUGGCAAGCGUUGUACGGAUUUACUGGGGGUAAAGGGCGUGCAGCCGGGAAGACAAGUCAGAUGUGAAAUCCGUCGGCUCAACCGCGGUACUGCAUUUGAAACUGUUUUUCUUGAGUACCGGAGAGGUCAUCGGAAUUCCGUGUGUAGCGGUGAAAUGCGUAGAUAUAAGGAAGAACACCAGUGGCGAAGGCGGAUGACUGGCCGGCAACUGACGGUGAGGCGCGAAAGCGUGGGGAGCAAACAGGAUUAGAUACCCGAGUAGUC
RNAcentral lists this ribosomal RNA (442 nucleotides) under uncultured bacterium. RNAcentral's name for it is "partial 16S ribosomal RNA". It matches the Rfam family "Bacterial small subunit ribosomal RNA", at positions 338 to 795 of the family's 1533-position model. The record is from RNAcentral.